GGUUUUUCUAUCAGGUUACUGCUGGCAGAACAGAGAAAGAGAGAGAGCAGGAGAGAGAGAGACAGACAGAAUCCACUAGUAGAAUAAGCCAUGAUCACCACUCAAAACUUGUGCUACUACUUGAUCAGUACCUGGAAUUCUGAGGAAAACCCUAUUAGAGAUUGCAAAUCCAGUAAAUAAAGGCAGCAGUGGUACCUUGUUAAAAACAUCAAAUCCAAAGUGCUCUGAGGAGGAAUAUGUACGGUGUGUUCUAGGGACAGAAAAUAAGACAAACGUGGCUGGAGUAUUGGAAGGGGAAGUGAGUGUUACUAGAGAAGGUCAUGAGGUGAGGCGGGCCAGAUCAUAUGGGUCUGUGUAAGCUAUGGCAAGGAGUGUGGAUUUUAUUCCAAGUAAGAUGGAAAGCCUUUAUGAAGUUUUAAAAACGGCAGUGUUAUGAUUUGUAACAUCUGAGUUUAUGUUUACAUCGUGG
Molecule: long non-coding RNA, 469 nt
Filed under: Homo sapiens (human)
Lineage: Eukaryota; Metazoa; Chordata; Mammalia; Primates; Hominidae
Description: HSALNT0047637
Source: RNAcentral